CCUACGGGUGGCAGCAGUGAGGAAUAUUGGUCAAUGGACGAGAGUCUGAACCAGCCAAGUAGCGUGAAGGAUGAAUGCCCUAUGGGUUGUAAACUUCUUUUAUAUGGGAAUAAAAUGUUCCACGUGUGGGAUUUUGUAUGUACCAUAUGAAUAAGGAUCGGCUAACUCCGUGCCAGCAGCCGCGGUAAUACGGAGGAUCCGAGCGUUAUCCGGAUUUAUUGGGUUUAAAGGGGGCGUAGGUGGAUUGUUAAGUCAGUUGUGAAAGUUUGGGGCUCAACCGUAAAAUUGCAGUUGAAACUGGCAGUCUUGAGAACAGUAGAGGUGGGCGGAAUUCGUGGUGUAGCGGUGAAAUGCUUAGAUAUCACGAAGAACUCCGAUUGCGAAGGCAGUUCACUGGACUGCAACUGACACUGAGGCUCGAAAGUGUGGGUAUCAAACAGGAUUAGAUACCCUUGUAGUC
This 460-nucleotide ribosomal RNA is filed under the name uncultured bacterium. RNAcentral's name for it is "partial 16S ribosomal RNA". It matches the Rfam family "Bacterial small subunit ribosomal RNA", at positions 338 to 795 of the family's 1533-position model. The record is from RNAcentral.